CAGGCCAUGGGAAGACAUUACCUGUUGAUAACACAGACUAUUCUCAUGAUCAUGGGAGGUGUGAGAGAAUUGCUGCUCUUUGUGAUGACUGUGGGGGUUGUCAAAGUUUCUUGUUACCCUGUUGGAAAGUCCCAGAAGCAAGAUCAAGUCUCUCUGCAGAGGAGACUUGGAGAGCUGUCAUCAAAUGACGUCUCCAUUGAGCAUGCCCUGGCCUUGCUCCGAUCCAUAGGGUCUGACGCUAAACAAGACAGAGAAGAGUAUUUAGAGACUAACGAAGUAGAAUCCCAAGCUUCUCCAAACCAUGGUAGCUCUCAGGCAAAUGAUGCCCUGUCCUCUGAGGAGAAGCUGAGGCGCAUGUCCUCUGACGACGCUGCGACUGGCCCGUCUGACGACGCUACCUCUGAAGCUGCGACUGGCCCGUCUGACGACGCUACCUCUGAAGCUGCGACUGGCCCGUCUGACGACGCUACCUCUGAAGCUGCGACUGGCCCGUCUGACGCACGCUACCUCUGAAGCUGCGACUGGCCCGUCUGACGCACGCUACCUCUGAAGCUGCGACUGGCCCGUCUGACGACGCUACCUCUGAAGCUGCGACUGGCCCGUCUGACGACGCUACCUCUGAAGCUGCGACUGGCCCGUCUGACGACGCUACCUCUGAAGCUGCGACUGGCCCGUCUGACGCACGCUACCUCUGAAGCUGCGACUGGCCCCGUCUGACGACGCUACCUCUGAAGCUGCGACUGGCCCCGUCUGACGACGCUACCUCUGAAGCUGCGACUGGCCCCGUCUGACGCACGCUACCUCUGAAGCUGCGACUGGCCCGUCUGACGACGCUACCUCUGAAGCUGCGACUGGCCCCGUCUGACGACGCUACCUCUGAAGCUGCGACUGGCCCGUCUGACGACGCUACCUCUGAAGCUGCGACUGGCCCCGUCUGACGACGCUACCUCUGAAGCUGCGACUGGCCCGUCUGACGACGCUACCUCUGAAGCUGCGACUGGCCCCGUCUGACGACGCUACCUCUGAAGCUGCGACUGGCCCCGUCUGACGACGCUACCUCUGAAGCUGCGACUGGCCCCGUCUGACGACGCUACCUCUGAAGCUGCGACUGGCCCCCGCCUGACGACGCUACCUCUGAAGCUGCGACUGGCCCCGCCUGACGACGCUACCUCUGAAGCUGCGACUGGCCCCCGCCUGACGACGCUACCUCUGAAGCUGCGACUGGCCCCCGUCUGACGCACGCUACCUCUGAAGCUGCGACUGGCCCCCGUCUGACGACGCUACCUCUGAAGCUGCGACUGGCCCCCGUCUGACGCACGCUACCUCUGAAGCUGCGACUGGCCCCCGUCUGACGACGCUACCUCUGAAGCUGCGACUGGCCCCGCCUGACGACGCUACCUCUGAAGCUGCGACUGGCCCCCGUCUGACGACGCUACCUCUGAAGCUGCGACUGGCCCCCGUCUGACGCACGCUACCUCUGAAGCUGCGACUGGCCCCCGUCUGACGACGCUACCUCUGAAGCUGCGACUGGCCCCCCGUCUGACGACGCUACCUCUGAAGCUGCGACUGGCCCCCCGUCUGACCACGCUACCUCUGAAGCUGCGACUGGCCCCCGUCUGACGACGCUACCUCUGAAGCUGCGACUGGCCCCGUCUGCGCCUGACGAACGCGCUACCUCUGAAGCUGCGACUGGCCCCCCGUCUGACGACGCUACCUCUAAGGAACUGUUCACCGCUUCAUCGGAGCCCCCGUUGACCACAAACAUGGAUAUCUGACGUGGGACAUGGUGCUCGGGGUCCAUGCAAGAGUUCAUGGGUACUCUAGUCCAGGUUGUCUGUGUGUGUAACUGCAUUUGCUUGUUUUGGCUCAAUUAAACAUUAACUGUAA
Molecule: non-coding RNA, 1887 nt
Organism: Salmo salar (Atlantic salmon)
Lineage: Eukaryota; Metazoa; Chordata; Actinopteri; Salmoniformes; Salmonidae
Source: RefSeq, a predicted model, not a curated record